This is a non-coding RNA of Hordeum vulgare subsp. vulgare (domesticated barley), 124 nucleotides long. Lineage: Eukaryota; Viridiplantae; Streptophyta; Magnoliopsida; Poales; Poaceae. The record is from Rfam.
GAUAUACUCCCUCCGUCCGAAAAUACUUAUCACAGUAAUGGAUGCAUCUAGAUGUAUUUUAGUUCUAGAUACAUCUAUUUUAUAAAUUUGUGCGACAAGUAAUUCCGGACGGAGGGAGUAUAAC